RNAcentral lists this ribosomal RNA (444 nucleotides) under uncultured bacterium. RNAcentral describes it as "SSU rRNA". It matches the Rfam family "Bacterial small subunit ribosomal RNA", at positions 26 to 518 of the family's 1533-position model. The record is from RNAcentral.
AGAACGAACGCUGGCGGCAGGCUUAACACAUGCAAGUCGAGCGCCCCGCAAGGGGAGCGGCAGACGGGUGAGUAACGCGUGGGAACAUACCCUCCGGUUCGGAAUAGCUCAGGGAAACUUGGAUUAAUACCGGAUACGGCCUAGCGGCGAAAGAUUCAUCGCCGGAGGAUUGGCCCGCGUUCGAUUAGCUAGUUGGUGAGGUAACGGCUCACCAAGGCGACGAUCGAUAGCUGGUCUGAGAGGAUGAUCAGCCACAUUGGGACUGAGACACGGCCCAAACUCCUACGGGAGGCAGCAGUGGGGAAUAUUGGACAAUGGGCGCAAGCCUGAUCCAGCCAUGCCGCGUGAGUGAUGACGGCCUUAGGGUUGUAAAGUCCUUUUAACGGGGAAGAUAAUGACGGUACCCGUAGAAUAAGCCCCGGCUAACUUCGUGCCAGCAGCCGC